GACCUGCGGAGGAUCAUUAUUGAAAUAAACCUGAUGGGUUGUUGCUGGUUCUCUAGGGAGCAUGUGCACACCUUGUCAUCUUUAUAUCUCCACCUGUGCACUUUUUGUAGACCUUUCAGGUCUAUGUUGCUUCAUUUACCCCAAUGUAUGUUAAUAGAAUGUUGUGCCUAUAUAAUAUAUACAACUUUCAGCAACGGAUCUCUUGGCUCUCGCAUCGAUGAAGAACGCAGCGAAAUGCGAUAAGUAAUGUGAAUUGCAGAAUUCAGUGAAUCAUCGAAUCUUUGAACGCACCUUGCGCUCCUUGGUAUUCCGAGGAGCAUGCCUGUUUGAGUGUCAUUAAUAUAUCAACCUUCUCUUUUUUGAGUUGUUUGGAUGUGGGGGUUUGCUGGCCUCUUAAAUGAUUCAGCUCCCCUGAAAUGCAUUAGCAGAACAACCUGUUCAUUAGCGUGAUAAUUAUCUAUGCUAUUGAAUGUGAGGGCAGUUCAGCUUUCUAACCGUCCUUGGACAAUUCAUCAUUAAUGUGACCUCAAAUCAGGUAGGACUACCCGCUGAACUUAA
This 558-nucleotide ribosomal RNA is filed under the name uncultured Cortinarius. RNAcentral describes it as "eukaryotic LSU rRNA". The stretch from base 183 to 336 matches the Rfam family "5.8S ribosomal RNA". The record is from RNAcentral. Lineage: Eukaryota; Fungi; Basidiomycota; Agaricomycetes; Agaricales; Cortinariaceae.